Molecule: ribosomal RNA, 254 nt
Filed under: uncultured bacterium
Lineage: Bacteria
Description: partial 16S ribosomal RNA
Rfam family: Bacterial small subunit ribosomal RNA
Source: RNAcentral
UACAGGGGGGGGCAAGCGUUGUUCGGAAUUACUGGGCGUAAAGGGUCUGUAGGUGGCCAACUAAGUCAGACGUGAAAUCCCUCAGCUUAACUGGGGAACUGCGUCUGAUACUGGAUGGCUUGAGUGUGGGAGAGGAAUGCGGAAUUCCAGGUGUAGCGGUGAAAUGCGUAGAUAUCAGGAGGAACACCAGUGGCGAAGGCGGCUUUCUGGACGAUAACUGACGCUGAGACGCGAAAGCGUGGGGAGCAAACAGG